GGGCAGGUGGCGGAAUUGCAUACCCGCGAGUAAGGUGUACUUCCUUCUCGCAGGUACCUGGCGCAGUAUAAUGCGCCGGGUACGCGUACGGCUCAGAACCGUAUGGCCGCAAGGCUGUGAGGGUUCCCUGCCCGCCGUAGGAGGGAAGUCCCUCCCCGCCCA
RNAcentral lists this transfer RNA (162 nucleotides) under Elusimicrobiota bacterium. RNAcentral describes it as "Elusimicrobia bacterium (groundwater metagenome) tRNA-Leu". The record is from RNAcentral. Lineage: Bacteria; Pseudomonadati; Elusimicrobiota.